Molecule: ribosomal RNA, 465 nt
Filed under: uncultured bacterium
Lineage: Bacteria
Description: partial 16S ribosomal RNA
Rfam family: Bacterial small subunit ribosomal RNA
Source: RNAcentral
GACGAACGCUGGCGGCGUGCUUAACACAUGCGAGUCGAGCGAGGCCCCUCCUUCGGGAGGGUGUCCUAGCGGCGAACGGGUGAGUAACACGUGGGCAACCUGCCCUCAGCUCUGGGAUAACUCCGGGAAACCGGGGCUAAUACCGGAUACGACCUCCACGGGCAUCUGCGGAGGUGGAAAGUUUUUCGGCUGAGGAUGGGCCCGCGGCCUAUCAGCUAGUUGGUGGGGUAGUGGCCCACCAAGGCGACGACGGGUAGCCGGCCUGAGAGGGCGACCGGCCACACUGGGACUGAGACACGGCCCAGACUCCUACGGGAGGCAGCAGUGGGGAAUAUUGCGCAAUGGGCGAAAGCCUGACGCAGCGACGUCGCGUGAGGGACGAAGGCCUUCGGGUUGUAAACCUCUUUCAGCAGGGACGAAGCGAAAGUGACGGUACCUGCAGAAGAAGCACCGGCCAACUACGUG